Molecule: unclassified non-coding RNA, 628 nt
Filed under: Bradyrhizobium sp.
Lineage: Bacteria; Pseudomonadati; Pseudomonadota; Alphaproteobacteria; Hyphomicrobiales; Nitrobacteraceae
Description: partial 16S-23S ribosomal RNA intergenic spacer
Rfam family: Bacterial large subunit ribosomal RNA (bases 508-628)
Source: RNAcentral
UCUUCCCAGGCCCACCACUUUCAUCGAGUGAGCAUUCGUCUUCUGGUUACGGGGCCAUAGCUCAGCUGGGAGAGCGCGUGCUUUGCAAGCAUGAGGUCGUCGGUUCGAUCCCGUCUGGCUCCACCAGAUGGUUUGAUCACCGAGAUCUUGACCGUCGUCCGCGAAACAUCACUUCGCAUCCUGCUAGUCUGGAUAGACAGCAGUUUGCGUGUUUUCUGACAUCGUAAAGAGGAGAUCGAUCCGAGUUGGGUCGUGCAGCAUAUCGUUGCGCGAGCCUUCAUUAUCUCCGGAUCAUUUCGGCGCUCGCUUCCAGCCGUGAGGUUGGAUGCGGGUUGUAAAUGAUCCUUUUAGCGAAGCUUGACCGCCUCGCUAUCGGAACGAUCUUACGAAGCAAGCUGGUCUUUCUAGUCAAUGUCCGGCUGCGGAUAGCGUUCAUCGAGGGCGCGUGCCGCAAGGCAAUUCUGCAGACAACAUUCUGCCGAGUGUGUGGACAUUGAUAAUGAGAGCAAUCAAGUGCCUUAAGGGUGUUCGGUGGAUGCCUUGGCGCUGAGAGGCGAUGAAGGACGUGCUACGCUGCGAUAAGCCGUGGGGAGCUGCGAAGAAGCUUUGAUCCGCGGAUUUCCGAAGG